RNAcentral lists this ribosomal RNA (461 nucleotides) under uncultured bacterium. Its description in RNAcentral is "bacterial SSU rRNA". It matches the Rfam family "Bacterial small subunit ribosomal RNA", at positions 30 to 490 of the family's 1533-position model. The record is from RNAcentral.
AUUGAACGCUGGCGGCAGGCCUAACACAUGCAAGUCGAGCGCGAAAGGCCUUCGGGUUGAGUAGAGCGGCGGACGGGUGAGUAACGCGUAGGAAUCUACCUGGUAGUGGGGGACAACUUGUGGAAACGCAAGCUAAUACCGCAUACGACCUAAGGGUGAAAGUGGGGGACCUUCGGGCCUCACGCUAUCGGAUGAGCCUGCGUAGGAUUAGCUUGUUGGUGAGGUAAAGGCUCACCAAGGCGACGAUCCUUAGCUGGUCUGAGAGGAUGAUCAGCCACACUGGAACUGAGACACGGUCCAGACUCCUACGGGAGGCAGCAGUGGGGAAUAUUGCGCAAUGGGCGAAAGCCUGACGCAGCCAUGCCGCGUGUGUGAAGAAGGCCUCGGUUGUAAGACACUUCAAUCGUGAAGAAAGUUAGCAGGCUAAUACCCUGUGACCUUGACGUUAACGAUACAAGAAG